GAUGAACGCUAGCUACAGGCUUAACACAUGCAAGUCGAGGGGAAACGAUAUUGGAAGCUUGCUUCCGAUAGGCGUCGACCGGCGCACGGGUGAGUAACGCGUAUCCAACCUGCCCAUCACUUGGGGAUAACCUUGCGAAAGUAAGACUAAUACCCAAUGACGUCUCUAGAAGACAUCUGAAGGAGAUUAAAGAUUUAUCGGUGAUGGAUGGGGAUGCGUCUGAUUAGCUUGUUGGCGGGGUAACGGCCCACCAAGGCGACGAUCAGUAGGGGUUCUGAGAGGAAGGUCCCCCACAUUGGAACUGAGACACGGUCCAAACUCCUACGGGAGGCAGCAGCGAGGAAUAUUGGUCAAUGGACGAGAGUCUGAACCAGCCAAGUAGCGUGCAGGAUGACGGCCCUAUGGGUUGUAAACUGCUUUUAUAAGGGAAUAAAGUGAGUCUCGUGAGACUUUUUGCAUGUACCUUAUGAAUAAGGACCGGNUAAUUCCGUGCCAGCAG
This 499-nucleotide ribosomal RNA is filed under the name uncultured bacterium. Its description in RNAcentral is "bacterial SSU rRNA". It matches the Rfam family "Bacterial small subunit ribosomal RNA", at positions 28 to 514 of the family's 1533-position model. The record is from RNAcentral.